Molecule: non-coding RNA, 83 nt
Filed under: Devosia sp.
Lineage: Bacteria; Pseudomonadati; Pseudomonadota; Alphaproteobacteria; Hyphomicrobiales; Devosiaceae
Description: ZTP sequence
Rfam family: ZMP/ZTP riboswitch aptamer (pfl RNA motif)
About the family: Previously known as pfl RNA. ZMP is also known as AICAR.
Source: RNAcentral
UCUCGUUCGCGCGACUGGCGAGAAAAGAUGGGGAACCAUCGGGGAACGCGAACCUGAGAGAGCCGCUCGCCUGGGCACCCAUU